GCGAUAUAGCUCAGAGGUAGAGCAUGUGCUUAGCAUGCUCAUGGCCUUGGGUUCAAUCCUCAGUAUGAA
Molecule: transfer RNA, 69 nt
Filed under: Marmota monax (woodchuck)
Lineage: Eukaryota; Metazoa; Chordata; Mammalia; Rodentia; Sciuridae
Description: tRNA.Ala
Rfam family: tRNA
About the family: Transfer RNA (tRNA) molecules are approximately 80 nucleotides in length. Their secondary structure includes four short double-helical elements and three loops (D, anti-codon, and T loops). Further hydrogen bonds mediate the characteristic L-shaped molecular structure. tRNAs have two regions of fundamental functional importance: the anti-codon, which is responsible for specific mRNA codon recognition, and the 3' end, to which the tRNAs corresponding amino acid is attached (by aminoacyl-tRNA synthetases). tRNAs cope with the degeneracy of the genetic code in two manners: having more than one tRNA (with a specific anti-codon) for a particular amino acid; and 'wobble' base-pairing, i.e. permitting non-standard base-pairing at the 3rd anti-codon position.
Source: RNAcentral